RNAcentral lists this unclassified non-coding RNA (237 nucleotides) under Hevea brasiliensis (rubber tree). The record is from RNAcentral. Lineage: Eukaryota; Viridiplantae; Streptophyta; Magnoliopsida; Malpighiales; Euphorbiaceae.
UCAGCAUUAGUCUGUAUAUGCCAAUAGAUUAACUGUCCCAAACAAUAAUUUUCACGAUAUGUCUUUCGAUAUUCAUGGAUACCUUCUCCCAACUUAUCAGCAUACUUGGGACCCAAGUCAAGCGGACCAAUGUGAACUGGAGGAGAAGUAAAUUUUUUGUACUCCUGAACUCUAAAGAAGCAUCUUGUAUGAGCAUAUACAUGGAUUAAGUCAGCUGCAGCAUCAUGCCGGCACUUG